Molecule: transfer RNA, 69 nt
Filed under: Diogenichthys atlanticus (longfin lanternfish)
Lineage: Eukaryota; Metazoa; Chordata; Actinopteri; Myctophiformes; Myctophidae
Description: tRNA-Asp
Source: RNAcentral
GAGAUACUAGUAAAGCACUUACACUGCCUUGUCAAGACAGAAUCGCAAGUUAAACCCCUGCGUAUUUCA